UACAGAGGUCCCAAGCGUUGUUCGGAUUCACUGGGCGUAAGGGUGCGUAGGCGGUAGGGUAAGUUUGAGGUGAAAUCUCCGGGCUCAACCCGGAAAUUGCCUUGAAGACUAUCUUGCUAGAGGAUCGGAGGGGAGACUGGAGUUCUCGGUGUAGCAGUGAAAUGCGUAGAUAUCGAGAGGAACACCAGUGGCGAAGGCGAGUCUCUGGACGAUUCCUGACGCUGAGGCACGAAAGCCAGGGGAGCAAACGGG
RNAcentral lists this ribosomal RNA (252 nucleotides) under uncultured bacterium. RNAcentral's name for it is "partial 16S ribosomal RNA". It matches the Rfam family "Bacterial small subunit ribosomal RNA", at positions 524 to 776 of the family's 1533-position model. The record is from RNAcentral.